Molecule: long non-coding RNA, 212 nt
Filed under: Hordeum vulgare
Lineage: Eukaryota; Viridiplantae; Streptophyta; Magnoliopsida; Poales; Poaceae
Description: long non-coding RNA (HVUL_LNC010064)
Source: RNAcentral
UCGAAGGCAUGUGGGUGCUUAGGCGAUUCUGCAUCGCAUCUAAGUCCCCGAGUGUGGCGUUAAGUGCACACUCGAAGAAAGUUAAUACUUAGGCAAUUCGUGAUCGCAGCUAAGUCCCCGAGUGUGACGUUGCGUGCACACUCAGAGAAAGUUAAUACUUAGGCGAUUCGGGAUCGCAUCUAAGUCCUCGAGUGUGACGUUAAGUGCACAUU